Paramuricea clavata is the source of this 98-nucleotide non-coding RNA. NCBI's taxonomy places the organism in Eukaryota, Metazoa, Cnidaria, Anthozoa, Malacalcyonacea, Plexauridae. The record is from the annotation of a GenBank genome assembly.
UACCUCAAAAUUCCGCAACAGUCUGUUUCAUCAGUAAAGAAUCAUGAUGAUUCUUUACUGAUGAUUCUUUACUGAUGAAACAGACUGUUGCGGAAUUU